This is a long non-coding RNA of Pseudophryne corroboree (corroboree frog), 1012 nucleotides long. RefSeq lists it as uncharacterized. NCBI's taxonomy places the organism in Eukaryota, Metazoa, Chordata, Amphibia, Anura, Myobatrachidae. The transcript is spliced from 4 exons. The record is from RefSeq and is a predicted model, not a curated record.
UUGGCUUUUCUACAGAAACAGGCACUGGAAUCAAGUUGACUCAUAAACAACAACAAAUUAUCCAGCUGCUGAGUGUUCAUUGAUUUGAUUAUAUACAGUAUCAUCAUGAGAGCCAAAUUAUUGGAUCAUGUAAUCUAUCUCCUAUAUAUUUGCCUUAUUAUAAGUCUGUGCCUGGCCCUCUAACGCUGGGCGGAGUCACAGUGGUGGGUGGAGUUACAGGCCUGGGUGGAGUUAGCAGCUCCUGCCCUGUCCUAGCACACCACUAGCAGAACGGAGCAGCAGCCACAUAAUCCACCCAACAUCCCCACACAGAAGCCGCCAGGGGAUACCACAGUGCCAGAGACCCGGACUGCACGUCACAGGGCCCCUGGGCUGCCGGCUCCACAGGCCAGAGACGGGGGGACAGCGCGCCUGCUACUGUGGACGCUGCACCAACCUCACAGGGUGUUACUACGGAAUAAUCCAGGCUGGCCUGCCAAACAUCCUGCUUUUAUAUAUAGAGGUGGCAGUACAUCCUGAUGAUCAAAUAACAAAGUGCACGUGGCUCAAGUUACAGUACCUUCACUAUGAUAUGAAUGCAGUGACUGGUGCUCUUCCUGGUAUAGAAGAUUAGGAAUGAUCUUGAUUAAGGGACUACGAAAUACAUACGAUAUACCGGCUGUCAGUAUCCCGACAGCAGCAUCCUGGCAGCGAGCGCAGCUCGUAGCACUCUAUACCCAUCGGGCGUGGCAAGGUUAUAUUCCCACAGGUUACAUUGCCACUUGGAUUGUGGUGUGGAUCCACCACCCAAAUGGGAAGACGGGGUAGCGGCCAGGAUUCCGACCGCCGGCAUUUAGCCACCUGUCGGGAUCCUGCACGCCGGGAUCAACAGGCGGUAUAUUAACCACAUACCUGGACUACAAGAUCUAAAACAGAAUGACACAAAGGCUGUACAAAUACCUCAAAAAAAGUAAAUCAAAGACAAAUGAAAAUGGCAAAUGACAACCAGCUUGUAUGUACUGAGUGCAUAACA